This 245-nucleotide ribosomal RNA is filed under the name uncultured bacterium. RNAcentral's name for it is "partial 16S ribosomal RNA". It matches the Rfam family "Bacterial small subunit ribosomal RNA", at positions 524 to 769 of the family's 1533-position model. The record is from RNAcentral.
UACGUAGGUGGCGAGCGUUGUCCGGAUUUAUUGGGCGUAAAGCGCGCGUAGGCGGGAUGAUAAGUCUCUUGUAAAAGUGCGGGGCUCACCCCCGUAAUGCGGGAGAAACUGUCAUUCUUGAGUGCAGGAGAGGAAAGUGGAAUUCCCAGUGUAGCGGUGAAAUGCGUAGAUAUUGGGAGGAACACCAGUGGCGAAGGCGACUUUCUGGCCUGUGUCUGACGCUGAGGAGCGAAAGCCAGGGGAGC